UCAUCAUUUUAAAGAAAGCUCAUGGAGUUGUGCAACCAAGAGCUCUUAACACCAGGACCAAAUAUUGAAAUUCUCUGUAGGAUGUUAUAACGGUAGAUAUUGUCCUGUUGUCCAGAGUAGAGGUACAAAA
This 130-nucleotide small nucleolar RNA is filed under the name Otolemur garnettii (small-eared galago). RNAcentral's name for it is "Small nucleolar RNA SNORA25 (ENSOGAG00000024021.1)". Lineage: Eukaryota; Metazoa; Chordata; Mammalia; Primates; Galagidae. The record is from RNAcentral.